CACUCAUACUCUUACUUUUUUUGAUUAAAACACAAGUUAAGUACCAGCUCUGUAUUUACCGAGAGGAUGCUGGGUGAGGAGUGAUGCCGUGUAUCAGUGGUCAGACAUUGCCUUCCCAUUGCCUGGGGUUUGCUUGUGCUUUGGUUGCCAGGGUUACUUGAAUGUUUUGGAAUUUAAGCCCAUGAAAUUGUCAUUAGAUGUGUGCUUCAGCUGGGGAGUGAUCUGUAAGCAUUCAACUUAGACCAAAGAGAGGUCAAGUCUUCCUCAACUGCUCUUUAAGUGUUUGCAUCUGGCUGUAAUGUCUGGGUUAGACUAAUACGUUUCUGAUGACGCUGUCCUGAAAAUGAUCUCUGAGAGGAUGUCAUUUGCCUUCCAGAGAUAAUGGAGACAUCAAGUUUCUGACUAAAGGAGAUAAUAAUGAAGUUGAUGAUCGAGGCUUGUACAAAGAAGGCCAGAACUGGCUGGAGAAGAAGGACGUGGUAGGAAGAGCUCGAGGGUUCUUACCAUAUGUUGGCAUGGUCACCAUUAUAAUGAACGACUAUCCUAAGUUCAAGUACGCUCUUUUGGCUGUGAUGGGCGCAUACGUGUUACUGAAACGUGAAUCCUAACAUGAGAAGCAGUUCCUGGGACCAGACUGAAACGAAUUCUGUCGAAAAAGAGAAAAGCUAAUAUAUUUGAAAUGUUCCACUUUCUGUAUAAAGAGAAACCAGGUGGAGAUGUUUUUGUCUUGUCUAAAUAAAUGAUUCACCAGUAAACAUGGCGUCCUUUUGCGGCCUCGAUUGGAGUCUGCUCAGGCUCUGCUGCUCAGGCCGUGGCUCCCACAGAACAUGGGGUCAGCAGUGCUUCAGACACUGGGCCAGGGUCCGGGCCCGGCCUGAAGGAGGGAGCAUGGCACAGAACACAUGAUCACAGCAAGUAGCUUCAAAAGUACAGUCCCAGCUUACUAUGAUGCCUCUGAGGAAGACAGGUUCUUCAAAGAGGAGGACUUUUUAUUCAUUCAAGUAAAAUCUGAUAAACAAA
Molecule: long non-coding RNA, 1020 nt
Filed under: Rattus norvegicus (Norway rat)
Lineage: Eukaryota; Metazoa; Chordata; Mammalia; Rodentia; Muridae
Description: long non-coding RNA NONRATT013526
Source: RNAcentral